UCAAGGCCGUAACUACCCUUGAGGCAAGUGAGGCAACUGCCUCACUAAAAUUUCGACAAUGAUUAUUUUUUUAUACAUAUAUAUAAAUAUAAUAGUCAUUCAGUGUUGUUCUGUCUCAAUCUAUUUCUAUAACUUGUCAUCAUUUCUUUUAAACUUUUCUUCCUGGAUAUAACUCAGCAUCUCAACUGGUGAUGUUUCUCGAUUACAUUAAUCUAGUAACGAUAAUCAUCAUGGAUCUCUGGUUAAAAACAGGCUCUAGCAGAAAAAGGAAAAGCGACACUGAAGGUAAAGAAGGAAUAAUUCUAGUAUAUAUUUUUUUGUGAACAGAGUCUGAGUAUUGCAUAUAACUUCAUUAGAGUAAUCCAAAAACGAUAAGUAGACUGACAAAUCAAGUACUGGGCAUCACAAGGGGCAGUCCUGUCUAUGUAUUCAUUUCUAUGUUUCACGAACUUUAAUCUUUCUCUUUACAGAUAAAUAAAAUAUAAAUAUGAAAUAUGAAACAUGCAUGGAUUACUUUUUUAUCCAUGUUUCUUUAAUCUUAAAAAUAUCCCAUAUUCCAAUUUGACAUUAUUGAGGAAUGGAAUUAAGAACCUUUAACACAGGAUUUUGUCUUUACUUAUUCGGGACUACGGAAUUUCGUUUCUUUAUAUUCAGGGUUUUGGAAUCGGACACCCCAACCCCUAACCCCUAAAUUUAUAGAUUCUGGAACGGAAAUACCUCCGACUAUUUCCAGAAAUAAUUUGAAAUUACGGACCUACAUGUAUAAACGUCAAAAACUCCAUUCCAAUUCCCCUGUACACAUAUCAUAUAUACUUACUCUAUAGAUAGAAUCAUAUACAUGUAUCUUAUCUCAUUCUAUCCCUAGUUUGUCUACUCUUUGUCAGCAUAAAAGCGAGUUUAAUAUUUUGUAAAUGCGACUGUAUGAUGGUGCUUACAGGAAAGCGUAAUUCCCUUUUGCAAACAAAACUGUUACUACCAAUGAUGCUACCGAAUUGCCGAUGGAGAAGGAAUUGGAAGAAGACAUUAAUCAUUGUGUUGAUGAUAAUGUGCUACCUUUAGAAACACAGACUGCCCUGAAACGACUGACAACUUGGAAAAGAGCAUGCCUGAGUGGCGAGAGAUUGUGCGGUUUUGCCAUGCUCCAUGUUCAUCACGAUAAGGAUAUCAGCAGACCAAAUUAUGAUUCUGAAACAAUUUGACUGAACCGGCAAUAGAUAAAUUUGGCAAACUCUACUGAAUCGAUGUUUGUUCUAUGUUCUGGCAACAGACUCAAAUUGAUAUUUGGAUGAUUAUCUUCUAUAUUAAUUUAAAUAAAGUUGUUAAAAAUUUGGUGUUUGUAAAAGUCUUAAAAUAUGAAAAAUUGUAUAAAAAGUGUCCAAAUUCAAAACAUUAUCAAACUCUCUAAAAAUGCCUACAAUGCAGGAUUUUGCACCAUUCAUUUCAUACCCUCCAAAAACAAUUUUCGCCUCGCUUCGCUCGGCUCAAUUAUUUUGCCUCACUAAAAUAAGAUGCCUAGUUACGGCCUUG
This 1527-nucleotide long non-coding RNA is filed under the name Mytilus galloprovincialis (Mediterranean mussel). The record is from RNAcentral. Lineage: Eukaryota; Metazoa; Mollusca; Bivalvia; Mytilida; Mytilidae.